AGAAAAGAACAGAGCACCCUGAAGAUAACUGAUCUUAUCUGAUAUUGGAAGUUAAGUACGGUUGGGCUUGGUAAGGACUUGAGCGUGAGGAAAAGACACAGAUAUUUUUCAA
Molecule: ribosomal RNA, 112 nt
Filed under: Mesocricetus auratus (golden hamster)
Lineage: Eukaryota; Metazoa; Chordata; Mammalia; Rodentia; Cricetidae
Source: RNAcentral